UAGGUCUCAGUUCGGACUGUAGGCUGCAACUCGCCUACACGAAGUUGGAAUUGCUAGUAAUCGUGGAUCAGCAUGCCACGGUGAAUACGUUCCCGGGUCUUGUACACACCGCCCGUCACACCAUGGGAGCUGGUAACACCCGAAGUCGGUGGUCUAACCGCAAGGAGGACGCCGCCGAAGGUGGGAUUGAUGACUGGGGGUGAAGUCGUAACAAGGUACC
This 220-nucleotide ribosomal RNA is filed under the name uncultured bacterium. Its description in RNAcentral is "partial 16S ribosomal RNA". It matches the Rfam family "Bacterial small subunit ribosomal RNA", at positions 1282 to 1500 of the family's 1533-position model. The record is from RNAcentral.